Molecule: ribosomal RNA, 1492 nt
Filed under: Companilactobacillus nuruki
Lineage: Bacteria; Bacillati; Bacillota; Bacilli; Lactobacillales; Lactobacillaceae
Description: bacterial SSU rRNA
Rfam family: Bacterial small subunit ribosomal RNA
Source: RNAcentral
GACGAACGCUGGCGGCAUGCCUAAUACAUGCAAGUCGAACGAACCAAACCAUUGAUUGGAGCUUGCUCCUUGAUUUGGACCUUGGUGAGUGGCGGACGGGUGAGUAACACGUGGGUAACCUGCCCAAAAGUGGGGGAUAACAUCUGGAAACAGGUGCUAAUACCGCAUAACAACUACUUUCACAUGAUCGUAGCUUGAAAGAUGGCUCUGCUAUCGCUUUUGGAUGGACCCGCGGCGUAUUAGCUAGUUGGUGAGGUAACGGCUCACCAAGGCAAUGAUACGUAGCCGACCUGAGAGGGUAAUCGGCCACAUUGGGACUGAGACACGGCCCAAACUCCUACGGGAGGCAGCAGUAGGGAAUCUUCCACAAUGGGCGAAAGCCUGAUGGAGCAAUGCCGCGUGAGUGAAGAAGGUUUUCGGAUCGUAAAACUCUGUUGUUGAAGAAGAACAUGCGUGAGAGUAACUGUUCACGUACUGACGGUAUUCAACCAGAAAGCCACGGCUAACUACGUGCCAGCAGCCGCGGUAAUACGUAGGUGGCAAGCGUUGUCCGGAUUUAUUGGGCGUACGUAAGAGAAUGUAGGCGGUUUAUUAAGUUUGAAGUGAAAGCCCUCGGCUCAACCGAGGAAGUGCUUCGAAAACUGGUAAACUUGAGUGCAGAAGAGGAAAGUGGAACUCCAUGUGUAGCGGUGGAAUGCGUAGAUAUAUGGAAGAACACCAGUGGCGAAGGCGGCUUUCUGGUCUGUAACUGACGCUGAGAUUCGAAAGCAUGGGUAGCAAACAGGAUUAGAUACCCUGGUAGUCCAUGCCGUAAACGAUGAGUGCUAAGUGUUGGAGGGUUUCCGCCCUUCAGUGCUGCAGCUAACGCAUUAAGCACUCCGCCUGGGGAGUACGAUCGCAAGAUUGAAACUCAAAGGAAUUGACGGGGGCCCGCACAAGCGGUGGAGCAUGUGGUUUAAUUCGAAGCAACGCGAAGAACCUUACCAGGUCUUGACAUACCAUGAAAAGCUUAGAGAUAAGUCUUUCCCUUCGGGGACAUGGAUACAGGUGGUGCAUGGUUGUCGUCAGCUCGUGUCGUGAGAUGUUGGGUUAAGUCCCGCAACGAGCGCAACCCUUAUUAUCAGUUGCCAGCAUUUAGUUGGGCACUCUGGUGAGACUGCCGGUGACAAACCGGAGGAAGGUGGGGACGACGUCAAAUCAUCAUGCCCCUUAUGACCUGGGCUACACACGUGCUACAAUGGUCGGUACAACGUGCUGCGAACUCGCGAGGGUAAGCAAAUCACUUAAAACCGAUCUCAGUUCGGAUUGUAGGCUGCAACUCGCCUACAUGAAGCUGGAAUCGCUAGUAAUCGCGGAUCAGCAUGCCGCGGUGAAUACGUUCCCGGGCCUUGUACACACCGCCCGUCACACCAUGAGAGUUUGUAACACCCAAAGCCGGUGGGGUAACCCUUCGGGGAGCUAGCCGUCUAAGGUGGGACAAAUGAUUAGGGUG